AAGAAAGGAGGCAACUUCAGGUACCAGAAGACUGCUGCUUAUGGUCAUUUUGGUCGUGAUGAACCAGAUUUCACUUGGGAGACUGUCAAGCUCCUCAAACCCAAGGCCUGAGUCUUCUGGGUUUGGCUUUAUAUAUUUUAGAGAUGAUACUAUCCUAGCCAACAUUCUGCUUGGUGGGGGAGAAUAAAGAAAGCUUCAGCACAUGCAUCUGACUGAUAUUGCAGUGAACAUUUCAAGGCCCAAGCGAGGUGUUGUUCAGGAUGUAUGCUUCAAGUUGAGCUUGUAGUUUGGUUAGGAUAGUAUCAUCUCUAAAAUAUAUAA
RNAcentral lists this unclassified non-coding RNA (321 nucleotides) under Hevea brasiliensis (rubber tree). The record is from RNAcentral. Lineage: Eukaryota; Viridiplantae; Streptophyta; Magnoliopsida; Malpighiales; Euphorbiaceae.